UUGAACGCUGGCGGAAUGCUUUACACAUGCAAGUCGAGCGGCAGCGCGGGGGCAACCCUGGCGGCGAGCGGCGAACGGGUGAGUAAUGCAUCGGAACGUACCCAGUCGUGGGGGAUAACUACGCGAAAGCGUAGCUAAUACCGCAUACGCCCUGAGGGGGAAAGCGGGGGACCUUCGGGCCUCGCGCGAUUGGAGCGGCUGAUGUCGGAUUAGCUAGUUGGUGGGGUAAAGGCUCACCAAGGCGACGAUCAGUAGCGGGUCUGAGAGGAUGAUCCGUCACACUGGAACUGAGACACGGUCCAGACUCCUACGGGAGGCAGCAGUGGGGAAUUUUGGACAUUGGGGGCAACCCUGAUCCAGCCAUUCCGCGUGAGUGAAGAAGGCCUUCGGGUUGUAAAGCUCUUUCAGCCGGAACGAAACGGUACGCUCUAACAUAGCGUGCUAAUGACGGUACCGGCAGAAGAAGCACCGGCUAACUACGU
This 482-nucleotide ribosomal RNA is filed under the name uncultured bacterium. RNAcentral describes it as "bacterial SSU rRNA". It matches the Rfam family "Bacterial small subunit ribosomal RNA", at positions 29 to 506 of the family's 1533-position model. The record is from RNAcentral.